This is a long non-coding RNA of Drosophila sulfurigaster albostrigata, 1926 nucleotides long. RefSeq lists it as uncharacterized. The record is from RefSeq and is a predicted model, not a curated record. The transcript is spliced from 3 exons. Lineage: Eukaryota; Metazoa; Arthropoda; Insecta; Diptera; Drosophilidae.
GAUUUUGUGUCACAAGGGACACAACUCGAAUACGAAUUCGAACUCGCAUUCGAGUUGUGGCAGGCAAAUGCGACUAAAGGCGACAGCGUCAGUUUGAAUACUUCGCCUUAAUUAUCAACGCAUGAUGUUUUGGUGAUUUCAUCUGCAUAUUUUUGCGAUGCAAAGAAAAAAAAAAGGAGGAGAAACAAAAAACACGACGCUGCGGAGGACAUUGUGUAAACAUUGUACGAGACCAAAAUUUAUGUACAAUACCAGGCACAACUCCAAAACCAAUCCAAAGCAGAAAACCAAAACGAACCGUAGCCAAAGCCAAAGUCGCUGCCAAGCCCAAGACUCAGACUCAGAGUCAGACUCAGAGUCAGACUCUGAGACGCAGUCGAAGUCCAAGUUGCAGUCGCAUUCGCAGUGCAGUCACUGGCAGCAAUGAGCAAACGUGGCGUGGGGAAGGGGAGUGGGAAAACCGAGCAUUGAGAGCUACUUGUUUCCCACCAUAAAUUCACGCCAAUAAGCACAAACAAAACAAACUACUCAACGGAAUUCCCAAUCCUCCUCCUCCUUCUCCCCCUCAUCCUCCGACUGCACACAUGAGUACGAAGGGAAUUGGAUGCCACACGGUAAAAAUUUGUGACCUUUGGCAGUAAACGCAAUUUGAGGCAGCUCCACCACAACACACAGUAAAAAAAAAAAAAAAAAACAACUAAAUCGAUGUGUCUCCCCUCGAAAAAAGUCUGAUAAUGGAAGACAAACAGCUGGGCAGGAAUGUUGAACAUGGGGAUAACAAGUUGUUGUUGGACGCUUGUUAAAUUCUAAUUAUUAUAAUUAAUUGCAACAGCAGUGGCUGCGACUGCGACUGCGACUGCGACAGCGGCACUCGAAUAGACAAACAAACAUAGUCAAAUAAUGAUAUUAAUUGAUUGAAUUACGAGUGCGACUUGCAAAUUCAGAGCCCAAGGGAGAGCCCCCAAAAAAGGGGGCGAAGACGAAGAGAGAAGGCAGCGGGUGAUAUGCCAACAAUUUGUGGCAUAAACAUUCAACAUUCAGCAAUUGAGUUUAGUGGCUGCCUUGGUCGGCAACUUUUCAACACUCACAUGGGAAUUUAUGAAUGCCUCGUCUACGGCUCGCAGACAUUUAUCCAAAAAAAGAAGUCGAUUCGAAUCGAAUGGAAUCGAGUUAAAAACGUGCGACGCCCAAAAAUAGACAUCGGAACAUGGCAGCGCACUCGAAAAUCUCGCAACUGUUUGACGAUUAUUGAAUGGAGGGGACGCAAUCCAAUCCGUGUUUCUGAAUCCCCCUCCUUUUCCUCCUUCACCCGCUCCACACCCAAUCACAAAGUUAUGUCUCCUGCGUUGUGUGCUAUUCCCGAUACCCGCCGACUCGAUUCAUGUUUCAAGUGUUUCGUAAGCGGUUCGCUUAUAUGUAUUUUUGGCAUACGAAAAGGAAAAGUGUAGACAAGGCGACGUUUUUAUGGUAAAUGAUUUAUGCCUCGCCGGGCGCAGCGUCCAAGGUAAUUGAGUGGGAAAUGUUAUCCGCAUUGGGAACUAUUCGGACUCCACAACUGCAACAGCAACAGCAACUGUGACGCUGAUGAAGGAGACAGUGCUUGUGUCUCUCCGACUUUCUGUCCAUGUGUCUUCAGUCUCUGGCAUAUUGUUAGUUGCAUCAAAGACAACAACGACAACCUCGACAACGUCGACGACGACGAUGAGCGGCAAGUGUAAUUAAUGCUGUGAAUUUUGCAUAUUAAAAGAUUUUCCUCCCUCGGUCAUCAAACAAGCGCAUCGGCUUCGUCUUUUUUAAGCACUCUACAGAGGGUACUUCAGCUUCGUCGUUGAGUAUGUAAAGGUGCAAUUAAUUUCACAACAUAUUAAGACUAUCCUAACUAUAUUUAUCAAUCACUCAAAUUAUCAAGAAGAUGAUAUUGCUUCU